Non-coding RNA from Pelobates cultripes (western spadefoot toad), 72 nucleotides. Lineage: Eukaryota; Metazoa; Chordata; Amphibia; Anura; Pelobatidae. The record is from the annotation of a GenBank genome assembly.
UGUGUGUGUGUGUGUGUGUGUGUGUGUGUGUAUAUAUAUACACAUACAUAUAUACACACACACACAUACACU